Molecule: transfer RNA, 77 nt
Filed under: Deltaproteobacteria bacterium
Lineage: Bacteria; Pseudomonadati; Myxococcota; Myxococcia
Description: tRNA-His
Rfam family: tRNA
About the family: Transfer RNA (tRNA) molecules are approximately 80 nucleotides in length. Their secondary structure includes four short double-helical elements and three loops (D, anti-codon, and T loops).
Source: RNAcentral
GUGGAUGUAGCUCAGUUGGUUAGAGCGCUAGGUUGUGGCCCUAGAGGUCGAGGGUUCAAUCCCCUUCAUUCACCCCA